Molecule: small RNA, 92 nt
Filed under: Salmonella enterica
Lineage: Bacteria; Pseudomonadati; Pseudomonadota; Gammaproteobacteria; Enterobacterales; Enterobacteriaceae
Also listed under: 3 other names
Description: partial RtT sRNA
Rfam family: RtT RNA
About the family: This family represents a bacterial cis-regulatory element known as RtT RNA. The exact function of RtT is unknown although it is thought that it may be involved in changing the cellular response in relation to amino acid starvation.
Source: RNAcentral
AUAUCUCUCCGUACGGGAAGGAUGAGAAGCUUCGACUAAGGUUCGAUUCGAGCGCAGCGAGAAAGCGUUGCCGCAGGCAACGACCCGAAGGG